CAGUCGCCACGGUAAUACGGAGGGUGCAAGCGUUAAUCGGAAUUACUGGGCGUAAAGCGUGCGUAGGCGGUUCGUUAAGUCUGUCGUGAAAGCCCCGGGCUCAACCUGGGAAUGGCAAUGGAUACUGGCGAGCUAGAGUGUGUCAGAGGAUGGUGGAAUUCCCGGUGUAGCGGUGAAAUGCGUAGAGAUCGGGAGGAACAUCAGUGGCGAAGGCGGCCAUCUGGGACAACACUGACGCUGAGGCACGAAAGCGUGGGGAGCAAACAGGAUUAGAUACCCGCGUAGUCCCUGUCUCUUAUAC
This 301-nucleotide ribosomal RNA is filed under the name uncultured bacterium. RNAcentral describes it as "partial 16S ribosomal RNA". It matches the Rfam family "Bacterial small subunit ribosomal RNA", at positions 509 to 807 of the family's 1533-position model. The record is from RNAcentral.